GUCGAACGGUAGCACAGAGGAGCUUGCUCCUUGGGUGACGAGUGGCGGACGGGUGAGUAAUGUCUGGGAAACUGCCCGAUGGAGGGGGAUAACUACUGGAAACGGUAGCUAAUACCGCAUAACGUCGCAAGACCAAAGAGGGGGACCUUCGGGCCUCUUGCCAUCGGAUGUGCCCAGAUGGGAUUAGCUGGUAGGUGGGGUAACGGCUCACCUAGGCGACGAUCCCUAGCUGGUCUGAGAGGAUGACCAGCCACACUGGAACUGAGACACGGUCCAGACUCCUACGGGAGGCAGCAGUGGGGAAUAUUGCACAAUGGGCGCAAGCCUGAUGCAGCCAUGCCGCGUGUAUGAAGAAGGCCUUCGGGUUGUAAAGUACUUUCAGCGAGGAGGAAGGUGUUGUGGUUAAUAACCGCAGCAAUUGACGUUACUCGCAGAAGAAGCACCGGCUAACUCCGUGCCAGCAGCCGCGGUAAUACGGAGGGUGCAAGCGUUAAUCGGAAUUACUGGGCGUAAAGCGCACGCAGGCGGUCUGUCAAGUCGGAUGUGAAAUCCCCGGGCUCAACCUGGGAACUGCAUCCGAAACUGGCAGGCUAGAGUCUUGUAGAGGGGGGUAGAAUUCCAGGUGUAGCGGUGAAAUGCGUAGAGAUCUGGAGGAAUACCGGUGGCGAAGGCGGCCCCCUGGACAAAGACUGACGCUCAGGUGCGAAAGCGUGGGGAGCAAACAGGGAUUAGAUACCCUGGUAGUCCACGCCGUAAACGAUGUCGACUUGGACGUUGUGCCCUUGAGGCGUGGCUUCCGGAGCUAACGCGUUUAAGUCGACCGCCUGGGGGAGUACGGCCGCAAGGUUAAAACUCAAAUGAAUUGACGGGGGCCCGCACAAGCGGUGGAGCAUGUGUUUAAUUCGAUGCAACGCGAAGAACCUUACCUACUCUUGACAUCCAGAGAACUUGGCAGUAGAUGCCCUGGUGCCUUCGCGAACUGUGAGACAGGUGCUGCAUGGCUGUCGUCAGCUCGUGUUGUGGAAUGUUGGGUUAAGUCCCGCAACGAGCGCAACCCUUAUCCUUUGU
RNAcentral lists this ribosomal RNA (1068 nucleotides) under Citrobacter freundii. RNAcentral describes it as "bacterial SSU rRNA". It matches the Rfam family "Bacterial small subunit ribosomal RNA", at positions 61 to 1115 of the family's 1533-position model. Lineage: Bacteria; Pseudomonadati; Pseudomonadota; Gammaproteobacteria; Enterobacterales; Enterobacteriaceae. The record is from RNAcentral.